UGAGUAACGCGUAUCCAACUCCCCUUAGUAGGGCAUAGCCCGUAGAAAUGCGGAUUAAUACCCUAUGUUAUCGUCGAGGACAUCUGAAAUGAAUUAAAGGUUUACCGCUAAGGGAUGGGGAUGCGUCCGAUUAGGCAGCAGGCGGGUAACGGCCCACCUGGCCAACGAUCGGUAGGGGUUCUGAGAGGAAGGUCCCCCACAUUGGAACUGAGACACGGUCCAAACUCCUACGGGAGGCAGCAGUGAGGAAUAUUGGUCAAUGGGCGAGAGCCUGAACCAGCCAAGUAGCGUGCAGGAUGACGGCCCUAUGGGUUGUAAACUGCUUUUAUGCGGGGAUAAAGUCACCCACGUGUGGGUGUUUGUAGGUACCGCAUGAAUAAGGACCGGCUAAUUCCGUGCCAGCCGCGGC
This 409-nucleotide ribosomal RNA is filed under the name uncultured bacterium. Its description in RNAcentral is "bacterial SSU rRNA". It matches the Rfam family "Bacterial small subunit ribosomal RNA", at positions 107 to 518 of the family's 1533-position model. The record is from RNAcentral.